Molecule: long non-coding RNA, 4129 nt
Filed under: Mus musculus (house mouse)
Lineage: Eukaryota; Metazoa; Chordata; Mammalia; Rodentia; Muridae
Description: predicted gene, 48065
Source: RNAcentral
AGAAGGCUUGGGCAAAGACAUGAGCAGCCUCUCGUUGACAGCUCUCAGUGACAAAGAGCUUCCUGCUAGAGGACUCGCAAAUGCUUAAUUCAUGGGAAAGAAUUUGGGAAACCAAUCCCAGAAAGGACUUGUAAAUUGGGUCUAACACGGUUGAUCACUCCAGUCUUUGUUGCGCUGCUUCCUCCAGAGUAUCAGACUCACAAGGUGCGGCUGCAGCCACUGGAUGUCCAUCUAACGACUGGACCUGAGAAGGUCCAUCUCUUUGACAUCAAGGGGCCUGCCCUGGGAGAGAAACAGAUGGCGCUGCCUUUUCCAGUCCUUGCGGAUGUCAGAAGAUUAGCGGCGUGCCUCUGAGUCUGCCUCAGAGACUCUCUUUACCACGGUUCAUAUGCUAGCUCACGGGAUAGGCGGUGAAGUUCACCAAAACAAAACCUAACCUCAACCAUCCAAAGCAGCUGGCGGAAACUGUGAGUGUUUCUAAGGGGCUGACUUAUCUAGCUGAGGCAAAUACGUGUGAGUGCUUCAAACAGGCAUGAUAGCAGAAACAAAACUGGGUGUUUAUUGAGUGCUGUCUCUCUUGAUUCCUUUUCUCCUUUGCUGGGCAUGAGUCUCCCUCUUAGCUUUAUCUUAACAAGGGAUGAAGCCACCAGUGAUAGAAAUCUGACUCUCUGGGAACUCCAUUAUAAACUAAGUUUAUUUUCCUAAAUAGAAAACUCAUAUAUGUGUUUCCCAAGACAUUUAGAAAAAAAUGACAAAUCAUUAAAGUGCUUAUAAUCUCAGCACUAUUGCCUCUAUGAUGUUCUUCACAUACACACUCACACAUAUGCACAUGCACACGCAUGCACACACACACAGACACACAUGCACACACACACAUUCACAUAUACACAUGCACACACACACUAACACACACAGACACACACAUGUACACUCACACACACACACAUACUAAUACACACACACACACACACACACACACAAAGAAACACAUAUACUCUUGCACACUUGAAGCCUAUCAGAUCUAGGUCUAGAAGAAUAGAUGGAUAUGCAAAGAUAUCUCUAUUAACAAUGGUUAUAUUGUCCCAUUUUCUACCUAUCACAUUCUUAUAGCUAUUUUCCUACAUCAAUAUAUUCAACAUUGUCGAGACUACCUAAGAUUGUACUAAUGGACACCAUAAAAUAUUUAGUCACUGUGGGAUUUCUAAAUUUCUGCUAUUAUCAAAAAUAUGAGUGAAGAUUCUUGUUGAUAAAUCUUGGUGCACGAUAGGAAUUUUUUUCACACACUUCUGCUUUCUCAUACACUUCUGGCUAGUUAGGCAGCACCUGAAGGAACACAGGCCUUCCUAGGUUUGUAGAAGCUGCUUUCCAUCACCAUAACUGUUUCUUCAAUUCACAGAAGAGAAACAUUAAAACGACUAUUUAAAAUGUAUGACAAGAAAUGAGGUCUAGUAAAAUAACCGAGUAAAGAUUAAGAACCUGUUUUUGAAGAAGGGAAAAGCUCGACCAAUUUGGAUGCUCAAACUAUCUUCCAGGAAAUUCAUCAAUUUGAGUCAUGUGUAGCAGGUUCCAUAAUUAUAGAGGACUCGUGAAAACAUUUCUACUCUUUCCUAUUUUUUAAUUUUAAGAAUGAAACGAUCCAAGAGGACACUUAAAAGAUAUUAUUACCUCUCAUUGUGAUUUUAUUGCCCCAUCAGAAAACAGUCGCUUCUGAACUGGCAUGAAAUCUAGCUAUUGAUGAAUCAUGCCCCCCAGAUCACUCUGGAAUACGGCUAACAGGGAAGCUUGCCUCCCGCCAAACUCGAGAAACGGUGGUGAGGUUGAGGAAAAUCAUUGUCCUGAGGGCCUGCAGUGAUUUUAGAGAGUGUCCCUUAGUAGUUACUGCACUCUGUGACCUCUGGAAAAAGUGUAAGCAGCUCUUUGCAUACACUCCACCCUGCCAGUUUCCCUUACAAGGCUCAUUCUCUCCAUCACCACUGAAUUGAAAACAGUUGGGCAAGCUCUGCUAAUCGGCAGCUGCUUGCAAUUAGAUGAAGCAUUUAAAGCCAGUCUGCAAACUACCUUCCCAACUGCUCAGCCUUCUGCACGAGCUGUACACCGUGACAACUUGCCAGGAUGUUUAGCUUAUCUCCAUCUCUGGUGGUUUCCAUACCUUCCUUCUUUUCUCCAAUCUUCCCACACAGGGUCUGACUCGUCCAGGUCCUCUUGUUGACUUAGAGGAACACAAAAAAAGGGAGAUGGGGCGUUAGUCAAAACCAGGUUGAGCUGCUUUGGGCUAAGAUGGAAAUUUCUAUCCAGGCGAUUAUUAGAGGCAGAGAUAUCUUGAUGGGUCCCGGAGAGAAACAGGGAGGUAACCUUUCCCUUUCGGUUCCUUCCCUUUUUCAGUUUCUAAACAGCAAGCUGGAAGGUUCACAGAGAUUGUCUCUUUUAGGGUGAUAGAGCAAAACAAGAGGUACUGGGGUUUUUGUUUUUUGUUUUUUGUUUUUUUUUUGUCAGUGAUUUCCAGUUUCCCUAACCUAAAACAGUCACUUUCUCUAGCAGAAUAAGUGGCAGGGUGUUUCCUUCACCAGGGAAGAAACUGAGGGUCGAGAAUCUAACCCAAAGGACGCACAGAUGGCGGGUGAGCAUGAACUGAAGUCAUCUCUCCUGCCUCUCAGUCCUGACCACUUCCUGGAUGCCAAUUGUCUCCUCUAGAGGGGGGAAAAUAAAUCCUCAGACAGCUCCACACAAUGGAGGCAUUCUCCCCCAGCCUCUCCUCACUGUGGAAGAAAACGCGUGUAGACCCUCAGCCCUGCCCAUCAUGGGGCUUAAAGUAAAACUGACCCAUAAAACAAAACGAGACAAACAGGUAGCAUUUCCUUCGCGCAGUUGCCUUUCCACGACCCCACCUUAGGCCACCUACGAGAGAUGCUUCGUGCACAUAACCAUCUCUGCUGCUCUAUUCUUCUCUAGUGGGCCCUCCAUAUUGAUCACUCACUUGGUCUCUCUGGUUGCAGGAGGCACAGACGGAGAAGCAGAAAGGGAAACCGUGAGAGAGGUAGAAAGGUGGGCUGGAAGGGAGGGAGCAGUUGGGCCGCCUCAGAAUCGAAGCAGAAUGAGCUGAGACAGGGACGUCAGCCCCCUGCCUCAGCUCUCUCCCCGACGCCCGACAUACACACACCCAGAGCAGGUCUGUUCCCCAGCAGGCUACCUCCGAAAACCAUUUCUGUUUCCUCUUAACCCCAAUGGCUCUCUCCAUAGAAUUAGAAGUACAUUUCAGUAUUUCAUAUGAAAGCAGAAGAGGAAAGAAGACCAGGGAGAAGAAAGAGAAGCUGCAUAAGAGCAAAGAGCAGUUACAUAUGUAUGCCUGUGUCAUAGCGAAACUCACUAUGGGUCCCACUAUGUAGCUCUGGCUGGACUCAUAGAAAUAUGCCUACUUCUGUCUCCCACGUGCUGGAAUUAAAGGCAUGUGUCGCUCUGCCCGGCUAACACCCAUUUCUUAAAGUGGGUUUCUUAGCUAUCACGUUCAUCUUCCUUCCCCCUUGACAUUCCUACAUUUUCUCUAUAUCCUACCUACAGAUUUUGUUAUUUCUCUCCUCUUAAUAUAGUAUGCAUACUAUCCUUUUCCUACUGCUGAAGGUGGCCUUUCAUAUGUGCUAUAGCCCUGGUACAUCUAGAAAACACUGUUCCUCUACUACCUCUGGCUCUUACACACUUUCAACUGCUCUUCCACACAUAAUUGCUGAACAAUAUCGUGUUACAAAUGAAUUCAUAAUGGCUGUGACUGCAUGCACAAAACCGGAUGGAGAUCAAGCCAGCUAAAACCCUAACAUGGAUGGGAAGGGGGCUCUCAAAGCCAUGCCCUAGAUGAGGAGCUAUUGGUGGCUGCUGGAAGACGGAGAGUGCCAGUUUUCAUCAGUGAUGUGUGCCUUGAUAAACUGCCCCUGCUGCCAUCGAGGUUCCUGGACCCAUGCACAUAUUGGCAGCAAUAAAUAGACAUGGUGCCUUGGUUUUGGGGAAAGGUAGUAGGUAGAAAUGAGAGGAGUUAGGGAGAAGGCAAUAGGGUGGGUUUGAUCAAAACACGAUGUAUAAGAAAUGUUUAUGAAAUUCUCAAACAAUAAAAUAAAACAGGAAAAAUUCUAAUCUUGCUAGG